RNAcentral lists this ribosomal RNA (273 nucleotides) under uncultured bacterium. RNAcentral's name for it is "partial small subunit ribosomal RNA". It matches the Rfam family "Bacterial small subunit ribosomal RNA", at positions 26 to 286 of the family's 1533-position model. The record is from RNAcentral.
AGAAUCAACGCUGGCGGCGUGCCUAACACAUGCAAGUCGAACGCGAAAGCCCCGCAAGGGGUAAGUAGAGUGGCAAACGGGUGAGUAACACGUGGGUGACCUGCCUUCGAGUGGGGGAUAACGUCCCGAAAGGGACGCUAAUACCGCAUGACAUCCUGCUUUUGGAAAAGCGGAGAUCAAGGCUGGGGAUCGCAAGACCUGGCGCUUGGAGAGGGGCCCGCGCCUGAUUAGCUAGUUGGUAGGGUAACGGCCUACCAAGGCAACGAUCAGUAU